RNAcentral lists this ribosomal RNA (446 nucleotides) under uncultured bacterium. RNAcentral's name for it is "bacterial SSU rRNA". It matches the Rfam family "Bacterial small subunit ribosomal RNA", at positions 958 to 1400 of the family's 1533-position model. The record is from RNAcentral.
AACGCGAAGAACCUUACCUGCCCUUGACAUGAGAGUCGCGGAUUUGAGAGAUCAUUUCCUUCAGUUCGGCUGGACUCUACACAGGUGCUGCAUGGCUGUCGUCAGCUCGUGUCGUGAGAUGUUGGGUUAAGUCCCGCAACGAGCGCAACCCUCCUCUUCAGUUGCCAACAGGUAAAGCUGGGGACUCUGAAGAUACCGCCAGUGAUAAACUGGAGGAAGGCGGGGACGAGGUCAAGUCCUCAUGGCCCUUAUGGGCAGGGCUACACACGUGCUACAAUGGCGGUGACAGUGGGAAGCAAAGGGGCAACCUGGAGCCAAUCCCCAAAAACCGUCUCAGUUCGGAUUGCUCUCUGCAACUCGAGAGCAUGAAGUUGGAAUCGCUAGUAAUCGUAGAUCAGCAUGCUACGGUGAAUACGUUCCCGGGCCUUGUACACACCGCACUACUA